UCUAGCCCGAUACUGACACUGAGACACGAAAGCGUGGGUAGCGAACGGGAUUAGAUACCCCGGUAGUCCACGCCGUAAACGAUGGGUACUAGGUGCAGGUGGUAUCGAUCCCUUCUGUGCCGAAGCAAACGCGUUAAGUACCCCGCCUGGGGAGUACGGCCGCAAGGCUAAAACUCAAAGGAAUAGACGGGGGCCCGCACAAGCGGUGGAGCAUGUGGUCUAAUACGACGCAACGCGUAGAACCUUACCAGGGCUUGACAUGCUGGUGGUACUGGCUCCGAAAGGAGACAGGACCCUUCGGGGAGCCAACACAGAUGUUGCACGGCUGUCGUCAGCUCGUGUCGUGAGAUGUUGGGUUAAGUCCCGCAACGAGCGCAACCCUUGUCCUUAGUUGCCAGCAGGUAAUGCUGGGGACUCUAAGGAGACUGCCUGUGAUAAGCAGGCGGAAGGUGAGGAUGACGUCAAGUCAUUGUGGCUCUUACGCCCUGGGCUACACACGUGCUACAAUGGUCGAUACAAUGGGUAGCAAUGCCGCGAGGUGGAGCCAAUCCCCAAAAGUCGGCCUCAGUUCGGAUUGGAGUCUGCAACUCGACUCCAUGAAGUCGGAAUCGCUAGUAAUGGCGCAUCAGCUCCGGCGCCGUGAAUACGUUCCCGGGCAUUGUACUCACCGCCCGUCACAUCACCUGAGUUGAUUGCACCUGAAG
This 704-nucleotide ribosomal RNA is filed under the name uncultured organism. RNAcentral's name for it is "bacterial SSU rRNA". It matches the Rfam family "Bacterial small subunit ribosomal RNA", at positions 728 to 1426 of the family's 1533-position model. The record is from RNAcentral.